AUCUGUAUGGGGUGCUAUGGGCAGAUAGAAAAGAUAAACAAAAGAUAUAACUGCUACUUUUGGGAAGCUUCCAAUCUGAUUGGGAAGUCAGGGUGACCAAAUGUGAAAGCAGCAUAAGGACAUAGAUGAAAACAGCGGUGAAGAUGAAGCUAGUUGGGCUCCUACUGCAUUAACUAGGUGUGAAGAAGUGAUUCCAGCACAUGUACUUUGUCAAACUUGUUGGCUGAUCAUUCAGCAUUAGAGUCCACGAGCUCCAUACUCAGCCCAGACUCUUCUGGAAAUGAUGAACAUCUUCAUUCCUGGGACUCCACCAAGCACAUGAUUGACAGCUCCACAAACCGGACAGCUGCUCUAUUCCCAGCGAGGGAAGGAAGACAGCUUCAGCUUUCCUGUGCUGCACUUUGGUUCCUUCAGCCGAAAGGCCUGGGCCAAGGAGCAGGUCUGUGCCAACAGCCCACUCCGAUAUCAUGGCAAUUGCCAAUAGCUCCUUGCAACUGUCAUCAACCAAACCGGUUAGGAAGUGAAAAAUUCAGCAACCAACCUGUUUUUUUCCCUCUGCCCCACUAUGAUAAGGCCCUAACAGCUAGGCUGGCUAUUUUUCACUAGGUGAACCAGUUGUUUGGAGAAUGUUUGGGUCCAGUUAAAAAGGUGGUGCCAUGGUUCUUGUUUGCCUAGAUUUCGUGUCUCAAGGAUGCUAGGACAGGAGUGAGGUCCAGGAAACAACUGAGGAAGAGAAAGGAGUGGGAAAGGAAGGGACAAGAGUGGGAAAGAAAGAGAAG
Molecule: non-coding RNA, 779 nt
Organism: Phascolarctos cinereus (koala)
Lineage: Eukaryota; Metazoa; Chordata; Mammalia; Diprotodontia; Phascolarctidae
Source: RefSeq, a predicted model, not a curated record